Molecule: long non-coding RNA, 1104 nt
Organism: Patella vulgata (common limpet)
Lineage: Eukaryota; Metazoa; Mollusca; Gastropoda; Patellidae
Exons: 6
Source: RefSeq, a predicted model, not a curated record
CCAAGUAGCUGAAACGUGUUACCCAGUUUAGCCAUACACUCAUCAUAACAUAGUGAGUCAGACGGAGAAAUCUUUUACUAUAGUAAAUACCCCGAUAACGUGCUUACCAAUUACUCAUCGACAACGCUGUCUGCAAGUCGAGCCACUUUUAUCAUUGUGAACGUUGAUUUUCUAGCAGGAAUUAGUAAAAGUAUGACGCUUAAAGACGACAUGGAAAAUGCUAACAAGGAAUUACAAAUACCGACUGGAAUUGGUUCAUGUGUAAAACAGUGUAUCGCAGACGCUGCUGUUGACAAUCGUCUGAAAAUUGGUGUGUUGGAAUGCGCUGCAUUGUUAAAAUGUAAUGCCGAUAAUGUGAUGUUAUGUGUGCUACCCGAUGCAGGAAGUGAGAAUAUUUCGGUCAAUAUUCAACACACGUUAAUUGAAGCCUUCUGCCGAGAAAAUGAUAUUAAAAUUCUCAAGAUUGACAGUUUCAGUAAAAUAUUGGUAACCAAGGGUGAUGGUUACUAUGGUAAACAUAUAAAAAACGAUUACAAAACAGUUACAUCUGAUCUGAGCUGUCUACUGAUUGAGUAUCCGAAUGAGAAACUAAGCCCAGUAGACGAGGUCAUCCUUCAGUAUCAUCAAAAAUUACUACAAACAUACAAACAUUCUACUAAGCCUAUCAUCCAUAUUCCUGAGUGAGAUCACCAUAUCGUAAAAUGUUGGAAAAAAAUCUUAAUGACUUCAGGUCAUGCACCGCUCGAGUCUGACAGCUGCUCUGGUGCUUCUCGUUAGAACUUCCAGGGCUGCGACGUCACCAAAAUGGCGUUAUUGUGCUUCGCUGGCAGGAGCGCCAAUCAAAUGCAAGGUCACAGAAAGACACUUAUGAUCUUUACAAAAAAGAUAUGUGCCUAGAUGUACUGACUGUGGGUGCUAACACGUGCAUUUUAAAAUCUAAUUUCCAUUUUUGUCAUGGUGCAAAUAUUAUUUGAUCUUCGUGGAGCUGUGAUUUGUAAACUCUUCAUCCUUAUAUUCAUUAUCACCACGUAAGAACAAACAAGUGAAUAUAGACUGCAAACAAAUUUGUAAAUAUUUCUUAGUAUAAAAUUGUCAUUGAAACUA